CAGCAGCCACGGUAAAACGAAGGGUGCAAGCGUUACUCGGAAUUACUGGGCGUAAAGCGUGCGUAGGUGGUGGUUUAAGUCCGUUGUGAAAGCCCUGGGCUCAACCUGGGAAUUGCAGUGGAUACUGGGUCACUAGAGUGUGGUAGAGGAUAGUGGAAUUUCCGGUGUAGCAGUGAAAUGCGUAGAGAUCGGAAGGAACAUCUGUGGCGAAGGCGACUAUCUGGGCCAACACUGACACUGAGGCACGAAAGCGUGGGGAGCAAACAGGAUUAGAUACCCGGGUAGUCCCUGUCUCUUAUAC
RNAcentral lists this ribosomal RNA (301 nucleotides) under uncultured bacterium. RNAcentral describes it as "partial 16S ribosomal RNA". It matches the Rfam family "Bacterial small subunit ribosomal RNA", at positions 509 to 807 of the family's 1533-position model. The record is from RNAcentral.